Molecule: unclassified non-coding RNA, 1579 nt
Filed under: Hevea brasiliensis (rubber tree)
Lineage: Eukaryota; Viridiplantae; Streptophyta; Magnoliopsida; Malpighiales; Euphorbiaceae
Source: RNAcentral
CAAUGGCGUUUCUAUAGACCUUCUGUAUGCGAAUGUAGCACUCUGGGUUAUUCCUGAGGACUUGGAUGUUUCUCAGGAGUCUAUACUACAGAAUGUGGAUGAUCAGACUGUUCGUAGUCUUAAUGGAUGCAGAGUAACAGAUCAAGUUUUGCAUUUAGUACCGAAUAUUCAGAGUUUCCGCACCGCACUGAGAUGCAUGAGGUUGUGGGCAAAAAGGCGUGGAGUUUACUCAAACGUUACAGGAUUUCUAGGCGGUAUAAAUUGGGCACUGCUUGUUGCUAGGAUUUGCCAGCUUUAUCCUAAUGCAGCUCCUAGCAUGUUGGUUUCUCGUUUUUUCAGAGUCUACAGUUUGUGGCGCUGGCCAAACCCAGUUUUACUGUGUCCAAUAAAUGAAGGAUCUCUAGGGCUGGCCUAUUGGGAUCCUCGGAGGAAUUUCAAAGAUAGGCAGCAUCUAAUGCCGAUAAUAACUCCAGCAUACCCCUGCAUGAAUUCGAGUUACAAUGUUUCAACGAGUACCUUGCGUGUCAUGAUGGAAGAAUUCCUUAGAGGGAAUGAAAUUUGUGAGGCAAUAGAAGCUAACAAAGCUAGCUGGGGAAGUCUAUUUGAGCCUUUCCCUUUCUUUGAAGCCUAUAAAAACUACUUGCGAAUAGACAUAGCUACAGAAAGUGAUGAUGACAUGAGGCAAUGGAAAGGAUGGGUUGAAUCUAGGAUACGCCUGCUUACUCUAAAGAUUGAGAGAGAUACAGUCGGUGUACUUCAGUGCCAUCCACAUCCGGGGGAAUUCUCAGAUAAAUCUAAGCCAUUUCACCAUUCUUAUUUUAUGGGAUUGCGCAAAAAAGAAGGUGCAAGUUAUCAACAAGGCGAACAAUUUGAUAUAAGGUCGACAGUUGAGGAUUUUAAGCGAGAUGUAUAUGCAUAUUCUUUUUGGAAAUCUAGCAUGUGGAUUAAUGUGUGUCAUGUAAGACGAAAGGAUCUUCCCGACUUUGUCUUCCCGGGAGGAGUACGUCCUGCUCAGCCUGCAAAAAGUGAAAGCCGUUCAGGCUCAAGAUCGCUUGGUUCUGCUAAAACAACUUCUCCAGAUGCUGCUUCUAGCAGAAAGAGAAAACAUGACGAAGUUGUUGCAGGUCUUAGCCCAAAAGGCAGUGAUGCCAGCUCACCAGGUGAAAUUAGGGAGUUGAAACACUUUGAAGCCGAUACUGGUGAUACCUCGAGUACAUUGCCUGUGGCUGCAUCUGGUGCAGCUGUAACGGAGUUAACAGUCAUGCAAUCUGCCAAACUGACUGUGGGCCAGCAAAGUGAACCCCAUGGUGUUGAAGAUCUUGGGUAUGACCUGGAGUUGACAAAUGGAGCUAAGCAUCUUGAUGGGGCUAAUGGGCUGCAGACAGAGCCCCCUACACCAGAGCAAUUUGUUGGGGCAGCAACAUCAGAGGAAAAGGACAGAAUUGGUGGUUCUAGCAAUAAUGUCCUGCAAAGCGAGGGCUUGGAAGAACUUGAGCCAAUUGAGCCAGCACCAUCCUCCAGCAUUGCAUCUGCUGCAUUUGAGGUUCCUCAGAAGCCGCUCAUUAGGUUCAAUUUUACU